CCAUUUUUGGAGGUGUCGAAACUUUUUUUUUCUCACCGUUUUUUAAUAAUACAUGAGACGCGGACAAUGGCACUAAUUUCGUUCAAGUUUUGGGGGCGCGGUGGGGGGGGGGGGGGGUGACUAGAAACUAGGUAUGAACAAUCUAUGCAAAAUAACUAAAUAUUCAUCCAAAAUGAAUAUAUUGCAUGUUCAUCAAAUAUUCCGAUUUCUAAUAGGGGGAACUUGUGUAGUCGGCAAAUGUCUAACACAAUCGCCCAAGGUCCAAACACUAAUAUGCUCUUUUACCGGGUACACCACAGAGCGUUGGAAGAAAAAAGUGGAGAAGCGGAGGUGAAGUGAAAUUGAAAAAUUGAAGGAGGGCUUCCCAUUGGAUUACUUUACAGAUUGAAUGGAAAGGUUUUUCUCGUGUCUCUUGAUUAGGUUCAGCAGAAAUUACAAGGUUCGCUAAAUUCUGACAUUUGUCAUGUCUACUUUUAUUCACCGAUUUUUUCACCGACAACUUUCGAUGACAAAGUCAGCUUUUUAUUCAAACUUCAGCUUUUGUAGAAGUUAUACAUUUAUCUGAACAUAUAUUUGUUGAUCUUUACGUUUUAGGAUUAAAUAUUUGGCAUUGCAACAUUCAAAAUUCCACUUUAUUAUUUUCUUAUCUAAGUAUUCUAUUAAAAAAUUUUCUGAACCCUACAAUUUUGAAAACCUCGAAAUUUUUUGAUUGAUUUAUUAUAAUAUUCGGUUUUGUUGGACUACUAUUGGUGUGUUUGAACAAUAUUCCCUCCCACAGGCGCUACAUUCAAAAAAUGUAAGUUAAUUAAUUGUUUUUAUAUACAGAUCAAACAGGAAAAAUAUUCAGAAACAAAUCAAAUUAAAUACUUUGAAACUUGAGUAAUCAGUCAUAGAAAUUUUAAAAAAAUUCUGAAAGUUGCUCAGAACUUCAAACUUUGAAUAAUUCGCAACUCUGAUUAUAUUUUAUUAUCAACUUUUACUUAAAUUCUAAAAACAGUUUUCAUCAAUAAAUGCAAAAUUCUAUCUAUCUAACUAAUAACUAUCUAUAUAGCUAUCAUAAUCCAAAAAAAAUGAAAUAAAUUGAGGGGCCCUUUGAGUUGAUUGCCCACUCUCAACAAGUUGACAUGUGUCUUGGCCAUUCAAGGAAAACUAGACAAAAUAUUGAACAAAAAAUUGUGUUUUUUUGUUUGGUGUCAGUGUAUUGUUGUCUCAUAAAAAUUCCAUUAACGAGAAACCAAUUGCGAUGACAAUUGAAAACAAUGGAUGUUUUCUGGUAGUCUCUGAUGGUGAAUCAAAAGAAUAGGUAUUAGCUCUUUUUUUGAAUAAAUACGUCGAAAGGUUUCAUGAGACGAUUUUUUUAUCCUUUUAUCCUUCCAAAAACCGGAAAAUUAGCAAAAAAUAAUGGUCUUUUAGUAAUUUUAGAACUUUUCGAGUCUAUUGAUGCAACAAACCUACCAAUGCUACUACCUCCUUUAGUUAAAAAAAAACCCAUCAGCAAAAUCUUGAAAUACAUUUUUCCUCCAAACAUGUUUGUAUCGUUAUCAUUGUUUUAUUACAAGUAAUGGGACAAAAUUCAAAUUUAUAAAUAAAGUCUACAAAUGUGCAACUACCGGGAAACUGAAAACAUUAAGUCAAAACGUAAUUUCCAAAAUAAGCAAUAAACAUUCCUAGAAUGGCACGAGAACUUGAUAUCUCACUUUUCACCUGGCUAUCUGAUUUUCUCAGACUAAAAAUUAUUUCUUUCGAUAAAGCUUUAGUGUAUGUACUUUCUAGUGAUGAAUAAUGUUUUCCGUCACACUCAGACAUUAAUUAUAAGCUUGAUAAAGUGCUUAUUACUAGGCAAUGAUGUUCGCAAGCACACAAUGUUCUUGCAGAUGAGAAAAAUUGCAUGAAUGCUACAGGUUUUAUUGAAAAGUGGAAUAUGGUCAGAAGAAUAAUUUUUAGAAUUUGGAAUUACUUAAAAGCACUUUUUAAAAUAUCUAAAACUAUCGCACUUCACGAAGUGUUUAAUAUUUACAAAAUGACUGUUUAACAGGAAAUCAUAGUUUUUGCAAAGCAUUAUAUAAAAAUUGUCCAAACGUUAUAAAAUUGGAUUUUUGGCAGUUUUUUCAAGAUGUCUAAACAUUAUGAAAAAAUGCACUGGAAACACUUUAGAACUAGCUUUUUCUAGUUCCAGCUUCUUCUCUCCUGCUAAAUUAUUUGCGAUAACGGUCACGGAGGUGGCAGAAGUAGAGUUUGCAAAGUGUGAAGAAAGUUUGAAUAAGUGCAAAAAAAAAACUGCAACACACUGCCACAAUCUCUUUUUUCUUUUUCCUCUUCACAACACAAAGAAAAAAGGACUAUAAUAAAGAAAGGAUACAUUGAGUCAAAAGAUAGCUCAUAACUUAGUCCUGCUCACAUAACCCGUAGAAGAUAUCAAAGGAAAACGGCGUGGAGGAAAGAAGGGGAAAAAAUGAGAGAAAGUGAGCUGGAAUAACUGAGAAGGGGGGGGGGGUGUACAGAAAAAGUGAAGAAGUAGGAAAAAGAGCGGGGGUAUUCUAAUAUCACUUGAAGAAGUCAUCCUUCUAUAGACUUCUAAAAUUGAAUCAUAACUUUAAGCCCCUAGAGCACUUAAAACAUAUACGUCCCCAAUUUAUGCAAAACGUUUUCCUUCCGUGUCCCCCUUUUUUUUGAGGAAAAGCUGAGGAAAAUAAAGAAAUAAAAGAAAAUGUUGAACUUUAUGCUGCGUUUCGCAUUUUUGGAAAGCAAAAAGGGAACACUUGUGUAUUAUUAGUUUGGCCAUAAUUUUCCCCUAAACUUUAUUCCAAGACAAUUAAAAAUAUUUAUCAUCUUUUAGUUUCAGUUUGUUCUAUUUGCACAAUUUUGGUGCAUUUUGUUUGAUUUUGUAAGCUUGGCUAUUUUGCACAAUUUCCAAGAAGAGGGCCGUCUACUGCAAUGCUAACUAUUGAGAGACAUUUUUGAUUUUAUUUUUUUGAGUUGAUAUAUUAAUAAAGAAAAACAACUU
Long non-coding RNA from Caenorhabditis elegans, 3004 nucleotides. Ensembl annotates it as ncRNA. Its record names the gene linc-166. The record is from Ensembl. NCBI's taxonomy places the organism in Eukaryota, Metazoa, Nematoda, Chromadorea, Rhabditida, Rhabditidae.